This 1445-nucleotide long non-coding RNA is filed under the name Triticum aestivum (bread wheat). RNAcentral describes it as "long non-coding RNA (TAES_LNC012768)". The record is from RNAcentral. Lineage: Eukaryota; Viridiplantae; Streptophyta; Magnoliopsida; Poales; Poaceae.
UCGUCAUAGCUCAUAACCCAUGAGGGGGUGACAAAGCAAGAAAGGAAGGUUAGUUGACUCUCCUCUAAUUCAUUUUGUUGCUAUUGAGAAACUCUCCUCUCCGAUUCUGAUUGUCUUAGUUAGUCCUUGGAAAUCUCCCAACAUUAGAUUAAUUUAUGCAUUAAAAACUACAAAGAGUACAAUAGUAGAAAUUAUAGUCAUAGAAACUGAUGUGGGUUGCAGAACUCCCCGGCGACGAGCCCAACGGCCUUGUACUUCACCCAGACAAGCACCAUUGGGUCGACGUUGCAGCCAGCGGCUGCAGCCAUGCAUUUGGAAAUUGCAGGGUUUCUGGUCGAUCGAACUCGUCGGUGACCAGAAAAUAUAAAAUUUAUACCUCUUGUACCACUGAUAGAGAUGUGCCUUGCUGUAAUAAGAUGAUGGGCUCAUGACUUAUCUUUCUUGGACAAAACAAGGAAUCUAGCCAUAACUAUGUACAUAUCUGGAUACUCAUCUUUUUUUUCUCAAGCUAUCAUGUCAAGUGUAGAGGAAAUGAUGAUAUACAGAAUAAGGAGAAAGACAUGCUGACAGUACAUCCAGUUCCAAUUUUCAUCAUACUAUGUGCUAAUAUAUGCUCUGAGUGAUAAUAUGCCACCUUGCGCUAUCUACACACGUAACAUGUUCUUCUUUUGUAUAAUUAUACACUAUAAAAUUAUUGUAUGCUUACCUUUGGUGGAAUUUCAGAGUUAAAAGGACAUGAAGAGUUAAUUUUGGUUGUCCUUUGUUUCAUAAAAAAUGUUGGUAUCAUUUAGAACUAUGUUUAUUUGGUGUAACCGGAAUUAAUCACUGGUUAAACAUAUAGAAGGAGUCUCUCUAUUGGAAGGGAAAAAUAUAAUAUUAGACACCAUUUAUUUUUCUGCUCGGUGAUGCAUGCAAUGUAUCAUUUGGCCUUGAUUUAAUGUACUGCACUUUUCUUCAUUGUUCUCUGUUCUUUAAUAAGUCAGACUCAUAUAGAACCUGAUAUUUCUUAGUGAUGUCUUCAAAUCCCAUGAAUGUCAUUUUGCACCGAAGGUUUGUAACCAUUGGGGAAUGUUUUCUUGCUCUGAUGUAUCAAGUUGCCAUGGGGGUGAUCUAGAGGUGAAAGCUAGCAAGCCAUCUCCUGAUAUUUUCCUUACUAGCAAGCUUAAUGCGGAACACUUAUAUUUCAGUACUUGUUUGUUUAAUUGUGUUAUUUAUCUGCAGGUCUCUUCCUUGUCCAAAGUAUGUCGUACCUAAUCAAGACAUGUUCAUUUAAUUUACCCGUCAUGUAAAUGACACAACAUGAUUCACUUGUGUAUAGUGUAAACAUAUAUUUAUUUAUGGCAAGCAGGUGUUCAAAUUAUAGUUGUGAAACGUGUAUAGUGUAAGGAUAUAAUUAUUAAGGGAAGUGACGUCACAGUGGUCGUGCCUGGUCUUCUCCGAGUCUA